UGUGUGUGUGUGCGUUGCUGAAGCAGUUCUAUCGCUGGCUGAGACAAACCUUUUGGACUAAGAGAAGCUCCCACGGAUCAGACCAAGGCCCAGAUGAGGCGACUGCAGACGGGGGAUUUCUGGGAAAUGUCAUCCAUUUAAUAAAUGCGUUUCAGCACCUCUGAGCACGGGGGACUCUGUGGAUCUCCAGUGUGUACCGAGAGGAGGAAAUUAGUCGUCUUGAUAGAGAUCCUGCAGUGACGGACAGCUCUGAGAGUCGGCUGGACCUGAAGGGGCCGUUUAGGAAGAAGAGAGUCUGGUGAGUGGCUUUGUUUGCCGACAGACACCGACGCCACAAUAUCAUAUUAUUCCAUUUUAAAGACUUGUGUUAUUACAUUACAUGCCACUUAGCUGACGCUUUAAUCCAAAGCCACUUACAAUAAGUGAAUUUACAAUAACUGAAUUUCAACCGUAAGGAUACAAAGUGCAAUUUCAUCAAGUUUACAACUUGCUAUAGACGAGAGCAAUUUCGGUGCUACAAUGUGUUAGUGUUUUUAGUCUGAAGAGGUGUGUCUUUAGUUUGAAGAUGUAAAAAGCUCUCUGCGGUCCUGAUGUCAUCAGAGAGCUCGUUCCACCAUUUAGGAGCCGGGACAGCAAAGAGUCGAGUGUUUAGCUCUCAGUGAGGGAGGAACAAGCAGCUUGUAGCAUCAUCAUCAUCAUCAUUCCAGGAUCCUGUAGAUAUCAGCGCUGUUGAAGAAGAUAUUGCUGCAGCAAAGCGUUGGUUUUUGCUUUCGUUACACCACCUGUCAUCUGACUCACUUUGAUGCCACUUCCAAUGAAUUUGUCUCCCGAACGUUUGUGUCGCGCUGAGAAUGAAACGGAGAGUGUUUGCUGUCAUAUUCCCUCUGUUGUGUCUCAUGAAGCUUUCGCACAUUUCUCUCUUGGACAUCCAACAAGCUUUUGUUCUGUUUUUUUUUAAAAUUUUUAUUAUUUGACAAAUUCUAGCUUUUUAUUUAGGCUGGUCACAACUGCGGUAUGUUAUUACCUGACAUAUCAAUGCCCUCUCCAAGACACCACAUGGGGACCUAUUCACCCACCUUUGAAAGCCUUUAAGCGAGGUGGGAGAGGUGGAAGACCUCUGAACACCAUCCAACACGGACAUGUGGAUGGAGCCAACAAAAGAAAUGUGCUGCUGUGACUGCCGUGUGAUUACGGGGACAUGACAACCUGCUGUGAACAGAUAUGCAGUAGAUGGUUUCUGAUGGAUUAUUCGGGCGGGGAACAUCUUGUUUUGCCCUGUAGCACUUGGAAAUGAGAGACCGAAUCACACGCGUAGCGUGCGUUACCUUCCUGACCUUGUCUCGUAUGUUUUGUGUGUGUGUGCGUGUGCGUGCGCUGAGUGAUUGACAGGUCUAAGCUGUAACCAUGGGAACAAAGAUGGAGGUGGCUCAACUGGAGAGCAGGAUGAACAUUGAGGACUACAGAAAGCUGCGGGGCCUCUUCCUCGACCCGUCCGGUGCGCCCCGCUCCUUGUCCAGGACGGACUUCAUCAACCUCUCCUGGUCAUCGGUGGGCCGAGGAUCCAAGGAGGAGUGCGGCCUCCUAUUUGACAGCGUGGUUGUCGAGCGGGACAUCCACGGCGUGGAGGGAGGGGGACGCGUCGCCUGGGGGGGGCCUGUGUUCUUUUCUGCUGCUGCACCUUUCUGAUAAAGUAAAGAAGAGCAGGCCUCCUCCCUGGAAGCCACCACGCACGUUGACCUGUCCACACAGACACCCGGUUCAGAAGGUAAAAGGUCUGCGACCUCGCAGGGGGCUUCGUAGAGGAAGAGUUUGCUGUGAUGGAUGGAACCUGUUGCCUUUUUUUUUAAAUCUACUGCAUCACGUUAUCGGAAAAACAUUUUGACAUUGACUGACGAGGAUGAAUCCAUGACUCUGCUGACUAGGUGGAAUUCCACAUUAUUAAACAUUGUGCGAGGAAGGUUCGAAGGUAUUACGGCCCUCUCAUCAAAAUGGUCCAGAUAAAUGGCUUUGGACCUUUUUUGAGUUUAACAUCUAUCAAUUAAUAUGUAAAUUAAGCGGCCGGCAUGAAGUGCCUACUGCUGUCGAGAAAGUGAUGGCUCACCACUUUAAUCGUUCAAUCCUGAGAAUGUCAAAAUGUCAGGAUGUUGUUUUCAGAAUGGCUUGAAGGUUUGGAACCCUUUAGCUGUGGCAGCCUUAAACAGGAACAGAGACUAAUGGGGCUUAGAAGAAUAAUUGCAGUGGGAAACCAUGUCAGUAAAGAGUGGCACAACUCAGGCAGGGUUUAUGCAAAAUAUGCAAACGGCCCAAUAAACCUCGCACUUCCUUCCCAUCACCAAACGGCAGGUAGAUAUUGACUUGCUGGUUAGCGAAGCCGCUAUAGAGCCAGCUAAUCCAAUCAGGGGUGGGAGACCAAAAUAGAACUAGGAGAAAGCAAAGGUCGUACCGGCACAAAAGCAGUAUGUGUUAGCGUUUAAUAAUUAACGCUUCCGUGACUUAAAAAAAAAAAAAACGUCAGCAGGUGUUCAAGUCUCACGAAAACAAUCCUGCUAAUGGCUUAUCACAAAGACACGUCCAACCGAAUGUUCAUUUGCACUAAAUGUCAGUUUGAAUAAAAAUAACAAUUCAAGCAAUUUACAGCAGGUGAAAGGCGAUGAGAGCAAAAGUCGCCACGGAACGAUUCUCAUCGUCGCAGCGACUCACCAGUAGUUGAUUGAUAGAUAAUCAGAAUAAUUAGAGAUGAAUACGAGUUUGCAGAUGGCUGUGAGAGUGAAACAGUGUGCAGUAAUUACAUUGAUAGUAAAUCUAAGCCCUGACCUCUCUUCUAGAAGUGUUAAUAAACCCUAUUCUUUCAUUAACGAUAUUCGAUGUCUCUUCAUACACAGUCAGCUCAAGCCUUUCUUCUUCUUCUCCUCGCCCCGCCAAUAAAACGCCAUCAUUCAUUAAUCCUUCUUGUUUUAUUAGUUUCUGCACCGGGGAACGUGCACCAAUAACAGGGAAGUUAUUCUAGACAUCGAUUCUGGUAUUUCAAAUGCGGUUUUAUUACCAAAGAUCCCCAUCAAAGACACAGUUGUUUUAUUCUUGAAGGCUCCAGCCUCUCUUUGACUAAUUAAUGUCACACUAGAAUGUCACAAGCCGCAUCACAAAGAGCAUCGACGCUCCUCUGAGAAGGUCAAUUUUACAAAAAUGUUGCACAAGCAGAAACUCUAUCUUUUUUUUUGCUGCUCGGCCAAAUCCGAUUUGUCCGGGUCAAAUGUUGUUUUGUUGUGUCCCCUGGUGUCCCCAGGUGUUGUACCUGCAGAGUUCAGGUCAGUAUCUGUCUGUCAGCAAAGGGGGAACUGUGCUGGUGUGGUGUGGGACACAGAAGACAUGUCCCUGCUGCACACACAUCGACUGUGACCCAAAGACCUCUGGGUCACAGACGCGGUGCUGCUGCUGCCCAACGUGCAAGUCACAAGGUGACUUUCAUUUCGGGAAAAGAAGAGACAGCAAAGCCACGUCAGUCCGCAAAAUGAUUGAUCGGUGUCCUGGUUGUAAUUUUGGGCCUGAAUGGUUUGCACAAAAUGUUAUUGUGCCAGAUAUUGGGGAAGAUAUUGUACUGCACAGAGGUAAACAAAAAGAAACAUCAAUUAUUGAUCUGCACACUUUUCCUUGAUUUUUUUCUCCUUUCUAAUUCUUUAAUCAACAGGUUUGCGAUGACAAAGAAUUGGGGGCAUCAAUUAUCCGUCAGCAGAAAUGUUAUUAUGAUCUCAUAAUAGUUAAUUAAAAUUUCUACCUGUGUGGCUCUCUGAUUUUUAAUGAGAUGAUCUAAUCCCCCCCCCCCCUUUCCUUUUACCCAGAUAGCUGUUUCUUUCACAAGUAAGGAGGUGUGUUUCUAUGACAUUCUGUUUAAACAAGACUUUGAGUGCAAGCAUAAAGUACAGGUAACAUAUCUUUUAUAUUCACAUGUAUAGUUAUCGUAUAUCUAUAAAGAUAUAAUCAAUCCUUUGAAAUGCAUCACUUCUUUUUGGGGUUUGAAGUUUACUCCCUGGUGUCUAGACUAUUGGGUGGAUCCCUCUGAUCCGGACCACUCUGUCCUCAGCAUAGGUGGACAUCGGUGGACGGGUGGGUUUUACACUGAACAGGAGUCUUCGUUUUCUGCAUCAUCGGUCACCAGUCGAUCCUUCCAUGGCUCUGUGUGUUUGUACGUUCCCCAGGUCGCCGCCUUACAUUUGACCUCCGCUCAGAUCUCCCUGUUCGAGAGUCUGAGGGCGGACUCGGAUUCGGCGGACAUCGUCCGAUGGGAGGAGCUGGUCCGAGGAAAGCACGGCUCCUGUCACACUGUGACACACCGAGGAGGCACGCGCCCUCCUGGGUUAGAAAAGGUCCCGUGCCUGUGGGAUGUAUCCCGUCAGCUGUGUGUUCACCGCCUGGCCGGCGUCUUCCCGGAGACGCGGGGGGGGGGGGGGGGGGACACGCAGACGCUCCUGUUGGUCCACGAGGAGCGUGGGUUCCUCCUGCUGUCCUUCAACAGCCGGCUUCUCCUGUUGGAGGAACAAAGGAAGAGAAGAGGACCAGCAGCCACCAGCACCCUGUGACCUGUGUGCUCUAUUAUUUAUAUAUAUAUAUAUAUAUAUAUAUAUAUAUAUAUAUAUAUAAGGUCUGUUCAGACAUGUAUGCAGUUGAAAUGGACCCCUGAGUCUUUAUUUCAUUGAUUGUGACUGGUGAUCUUCAUGGAUGUUCUGAACUGGAUGUUUGAAAGUACAUUCUUGAUCUUGGAAAAAGAAGAGUUUUACAAUCUCGCUUCAAAGUCAGUUUAGUGAAUGUUGUGGAGCUUUCAAUCAUAUCAAAUGCUUCUUAUUUAUGUUUUGAUAACAUCUUCUUUUCAGUGGUGUGAAACUAUUGUGAUUGAUUGUAUGUGUUUCCUUUCACUCAUUCCUCUAACUGACGCUAGUGUCCCAACACAGGAUAUAAAUACCACGCACACGGAAAAAAUGUAUACAAUAAAAAUGUCUCUCAUU
Molecule: RNA transcript, 4997 nt
Organism: Pungitius pungitius (ninespine stickleback)
Lineage: Eukaryota; Metazoa; Chordata; Actinopteri; Perciformes; Gasterosteidae
Exons: 4
Source: RefSeq, a predicted model, not a curated record